AGGACGAACGCUGGCGGCGUGCCUAACACAUGCAAGUCGAGCGAAGCUGCUCUAGAACUUCGGUUUUAGUGUAGACUUAGCGGCGGACGGGUGAGUAACCCGUGGGUAAUCUGCCUGGAAGUCUGGGAUAACAGCUCGAAAGGGCUGCUAAUACCGGAUGAUGCCAUUGGCGUAAGUUAAUGGUCAAAGCGUGAUGUAGCGCUUUCAGGUGAGCCCGCGUCCCAUUAGCUAGUUGGUAGGGUAAGGGCCUACCAAGGCGACGAUGGGUAGCCGGUCUGAGAGGAUGGUCGGCCACACUGGGACUGAGACACGGCCCAGACUCCUACGGGAGGCAGCAGUGGGGAAUUUUGCGCAAUGGGGGCAACCCUGACGCAGCGACGCCGCGUGAGUGAAGAAUGCCUUCGGGUUGUAAAGCUCUGUCUAGGGGGAAGAUAGUGACGGUACCCCUGGAGGAAGCCCCGGCUAACUACGUGCCAGCAGCCGCGG
This 486-nucleotide ribosomal RNA is filed under the name uncultured bacterium. RNAcentral's name for it is "bacterial SSU rRNA". It matches the Rfam family "Bacterial small subunit ribosomal RNA", at positions 26 to 520 of the family's 1533-position model. The record is from RNAcentral.